Molecule: ribosomal RNA, 440 nt
Filed under: uncultured bacterium
Lineage: Bacteria
Description: partial 16S ribosomal RNA
Rfam family: Bacterial small subunit ribosomal RNA
Source: RNAcentral
CCUACGGGGGGCUGCAGUGGGGGAUAUUGCACAAUGGGGGCAACCCUGAUGCAGCGACGCCGCGUGUGGGAAGACGGUCCUCUGGAUUGUAAACCACUUUCCCCAGGGACGAAGAUGACGGUACCUGGGGAGGAAGCUCCGGCUAACUACGUGCCAGCAGCCGCGGUAAUACGUAGGGAGCGGGCGUUGUCCGGAAUUACUGGGUGUAAAGGGAGCGUAGGGGGGGAUGCAAGUUGGGUGUCAAAACUACCGGCUCAACUGGUAGUCGCACUCAAAACUGCAGCUCUUGAGUGAAGUAGAGGCAGGCGGAAUUCCUAGUGUAGCGGUGAAAUGCGUAGAUAUUAGGAGGAACACCAGUGGCGAAGGCGGCCUGCUGGGCUUUUACUGACGCUGAGGCUCGAAAGUGUGGGGAGCAAACAGGAUUAGAUACCCUUGUAGUC